This 657-nucleotide long non-coding RNA is filed under the name Lupinus angustifolius (narrow-leaved blue lupine). RNAcentral describes it as "long non-coding RNA (LANG_LNC000289)". Lineage: Eukaryota; Viridiplantae; Streptophyta; Magnoliopsida; Fabales; Fabaceae. The record is from RNAcentral.
GUUGAUAUGGAUCAAAAGAAAACAGUGACUAGACUCUUGGAAGUAACUCAUAAUCUAUAUUCUACAUAAUUUUAAGAUGGCAGUAUCACAAAUGCUACAAAUGGAAAGGUAGCUGGACGUGGCGUUAUUAUUGCAGGGUGUCCAGAAUGGGAGCCAGGUCCUAAUCAUGCUUUGAGUAAAAUCCUCAAUUCAUCAGCAGCACGUGGUGUACCUUCAACAACACUUCAAAUUACCAAGAGCAUGGCUCUUUAUUAGCCACGUUCAGAACCUGAUAUCAAGGGAAACCAAAUGUCAGAUAAAGUAUAUACUCUACCACUGCAGGCUGUUACAUUUCGAGUCAUUGUUAAAUGUAAAAAAGGAGAGAAAAAUGAUUCAGCCGAGAAUCCUAAUCAGUAGAAUUGUAAAAGAUGGCAAUGAAGAGAUGCAAACAAGAAUUAUUGCUAUUGGUAUCUUUCCCUUCAGUUACACAUUCAACAUAAGUGCAAAAUAUCAAUAGCAAACAUCCAAAGGUUAUACAUGAAAGAAGCGAUGGUAAACCAGAGGAUAUGUCCCUUGCAGUUACACAUACACACAGUCAUAAUCAACAUAAAUGGCAGCAUUCAUGAGAAACCUUAAUGUAGUAAAACAGAGAGCAAAAGCCAUGUACGUUGCUGAAUC